This 506-nucleotide ribosomal RNA is filed under the name uncultured Glomeromycotina. Its description in RNAcentral is "SSU rRNA". It matches the Rfam family "Eukaryotic small subunit ribosomal RNA", at positions 591 to 1092 of the family's 1831-position model. Lineage: Eukaryota; Fungi; Glomeromycota. The record is from RNAcentral.
CCAAUAGCGUAUAUUAAAGUUGUUGCAGUUAAAAAGCUCGUAGUUGAAUUUCGGGAUUGACACAUCGGUCGUGCCCUAAGGGGUAUGAACUGGUGUAGUCAAUUUCUCACCUUCUGGAGAACCGCGAUGCCCUUAAUUGGGUGUCGCGGGGAACCAGGACCUUUACUUUGAAAAAAUUAGAGUGUUUAAAGCAGGCAUUUUGCUUGAAUACAUUAGCAUGGAAUAAUAAAAUAGGACGGCAUGAUUCUAUUUUGUUGGUUUCUAGGAUCACCGUAAUGAUUAAUAGGGAUAGUUGGGGGCAUUAGUAUUCAAUUGUCAGAGGUGAAAUUCUUGGAUUUAUUGAAGACUAACUACUGCGAAAGCAUUUGCCAAGGAUGUUUUCAUUAAUCAAGAACGAAAGUUAGGGGAUCGAAGACGAUCAGAUACCGUCGUAGUCUUAACCAUAAACUAUGCCGACUAGGAAUCAGACGAUGUUAAUUUUUUAAUGACUCGUUUGGCACCUUACG